RNAcentral lists this ribosomal RNA (253 nucleotides) under uncultured bacterium. Its description in RNAcentral is "partial 16S ribosomal RNA". It matches the Rfam family "Bacterial small subunit ribosomal RNA", at positions 524 to 776 of the family's 1533-position model. The record is from RNAcentral.
UACGUAGGGUGCAAGCGUUGUUCGGAAUCACUGGGCGUAAAGGGCGUGUAGGCGGAAACUUAAGCUAGGGGUGAAAGCCCGGAGCUCAACUCCGGAACUGCUCCUAGAACUGAGUUUCUAGAGAGGGUCAGGGGCUGGCAGAAUUCCUGGUGUAGAGGUGAAAUUCGUAGAUAUCAGGAGGAAUACCGGUGGCGAAAGCGGCUGGCUGGGGCCCCUCUGACGCUGAGGCGCGAAAGCGUGGGGAGCAAACAGG